AGAGUUUGAUCCUGGCUCAGGAUGAACGCUGGCGGCGUGCUUAACACAUGCAAGUCGAACGAAGCGCCUUGAUUCGAUUCUUCGGAUGAAGAUCUUGGUGACUGAGUGGCGGACGGGUGAGUAACGCGUGGGUAACCUGCCUCAUACAGGGGGAUAACAGUUAGAAAUGACUGCUAAUACCGCAUAAGACCACAGCACCGCAUGGUGCAGGGGUAAAAACUCCGGUGGUAUGAGAUGGACCCGCGUCUGAUUAGGUAGUUGGUGGGGUAACGGCCUACCAAGCCGACGAUCAGUAGCCGACCUGAGAGGGUGACCGGCCACAUUGGGACUGAGACACGGCCCAAACUCCUACGGGAGGCAGCAGUGGGGAAUAUUGCACAAUGGGGGAAACCCUGAUGCAGCGACGCCGCGUGAGCGAUGAAGUAUUUCGGUAUGUAAAGCUCUAUCAGCAGGGAAGAAAAUGACGGUACCUGACUAAGAAGCACCGGCUAAAUACGUGCCAGCAGCCGCGGUAAUACGUAUGGUGCAAGCGUUAUCCGGAUUUACUGGGUGUAAAGGGAGCGUAGACGGAGUGGCAAGUCUGAUGUGAAAACCCGGGGCUCAACCCCGGGACUGCAUUGGAAACUGUCAAUCUAGAGUACCGGAGAGGUAAGCGGAAUUCCUAGUGUAGCGGUGAAAUGCGUAGAUAUUAGGAGGAACACCAGUGGCGAAGGCGGCUUACUGGACGGUAACUGACGUUGAGGCUCGAAAGCGUGGGGAGCAAACAGGAUUAGAUACCCUGGUAGUCCACGCCGUAAACGAUGACUACUAGGUGUCGGGCAGCAAAGCUGUUCGGUGCCGCAGCAAACGCAAUAAGUAGUCCACCUGGGGAGUACGUUCGCAAGAAUGAAACUCAAAGGAAUUGACGGGGGCCCGCACAAGCAGUGGAGUAUGUGGUUUAAUUCGACGCAACGCGAAGAACCUUACCAAGUCUUGACAUCCUGCGACAGACAUAGAAAUAUGUUUUUCCUUCGGGACGCAGAGACAGGUGGUGCAUGGUUGUCGUCAGCUCGUGUCGUGAGAUGUUGGGUUAAGUCCCGCAACGAGCGCAACCCUUAUGGUCAGUUACUACGCAAGAGGACUCUGGCCAGACUGCCGUUGACAAAACGGAGGAAGGUGGGGAUGACGUCAAAUCAUCAUGCCCUUUAUGACUUGGGCUACACACGUACUACAAUGGCGUUAAACAAAGAGAAGCAAGACCGCGAGGUGGAGCAAAACUCAGAAACAACGUCCCAGUUCGGACUGCAGGCUGCAACUCGCCUGCACGAAGUCGGAAUUGCUAGUAAUCGUGGAUCAGCAUGCCACGGUGAAUACGUUCCCGGGCCUUGCACACACCACCCGUCA
Molecule: ribosomal RNA, 1383 nt
Filed under: uncultured bacterium
Lineage: Bacteria
Description: bacterial SSU rRNA
Rfam family: Bacterial small subunit ribosomal RNA
Source: RNAcentral